RNAcentral lists this ribosomal RNA (468 nucleotides) under uncultured bacterium. RNAcentral's name for it is "partial 16S ribosomal RNA". It matches the Rfam family "Bacterial small subunit ribosomal RNA", at positions 28 to 507 of the family's 1533-position model. The record is from RNAcentral.
GACGAACGCUGGCGGCGUGCUUAACACAUGCAAGUCGAACGGAAAGGCCCUGCUGUUGUGGGGUUCUCGAGUGGCGAACGGGUGAGUAACACGUGAGUAACCUGCCCUUUACUUUGGGAUAACUUCUGGAAACUGGGGCUAAUACCCGAUAGUAGCUCCUGCUGCAUGGUGGGGGUUGGAAAGUUUCGGCGGUUGGGGAUGGACUCGCGGCUUAUCAGCUUGUUGGUGGGGUAGUGGCUUACCAAGGCUUUGACGGGUAGCCGGCCUGAGAGGGUGACCGGCGACAUUGGGACUGAGAUACGGCCCAGACUCCUACGGGAGGCAGCAGUGGGGAAUAUUGCACAAUGGGCGGAAGCGUGAUGCAGCAACGCCGCGUGCGGGAUGAAGGCCUUCGGGUUGGAAACCGCUUUCGCCUGUGACGAAGCGUGAGUGACGGUAAUGGGUAAAGAAGCACCGGCUAACUACGUG